This 427-nucleotide ribosomal RNA is filed under the name uncultured bacterium. Its description in RNAcentral is "bacterial SSU rRNA". It matches the Rfam family "Bacterial small subunit ribosomal RNA", at positions 354 to 796 of the family's 1533-position model. The record is from RNAcentral.
GUAAGGGAUAUUGCAACAAUGGGCGGAAGCCUGAUGCAGCAACGCCGCGUGCGGGAUGACGGCCUUCGGGUUGUAAACCGCUUUUCGGGGAGAAGAGGAAGGACGGUAUCCCCGGAAGAAGUCUCGGCUAACUACGUGCCAGCAGCCGCGGUAAAACGUAGGAGGCGAACGUUAUCCGGAUUUACUGGGUGUAAAGCGCGUGCAGGCGGUCUCGUAAGUUGUGUGUGAAAGCGCCUGGCUCAACCGGGCGAGGCCAUGCAACACUGCGGGGCUGGAGGCAGGUAGAGGCGUACGGAAUUCCGGGUGUAGUGGUGAAAUGCGUAGAGAUCCGGAGGAACACCAGUGGCGAAGGCGGUACGCUGGGCCUGACCUGACGCUAAGACGCGAAAGCAUGGGGAGCGAACGGGAUUAGAUACCCGGGUAGUCC